Ruditapes philippinarum (Manila clam) is the source of this 947-nucleotide long non-coding RNA. RefSeq lists it as uncharacterized. The transcript has 2 exons. Lineage: Eukaryota; Metazoa; Mollusca; Bivalvia; Venerida; Veneridae. The record is from RefSeq and is a predicted model, not a curated record.
UAAUGUAUUGAAAAUUUUCUUUUUUUGAGAAGGUUUUAGUUUAUGUUUUAGCUGAAGAGACAUGACUGUUGUCUUGUAAAGCACAAAGUGACAUGAAGUUGUGUUGAUAGAGGAAGAAGAAGCCUGCUUAUUAUACCUGGGUUUUACAUUGGCCAAGCUAUGGCACAAAGAUGACACAGACUUUAUUCACAAAAGGAAUUGUGUUCUUGAGAAGGAGUUGGAAAAACUUGUGUUUUAAUGAAAGAAAGUUUGCUAGAAUCUUAGUUUUUCUUUGUGUUUGAACUACAAUUUUGUAGUCACAACAAAAGUGUUGGAACUGUUAUAGUGUGUUUUAAAAAAAACUUACUUUAAAGCAGGAUGUGAAAGUUGGAGUGGAAGUUGUUGGGAAUCAUUUAAAAGAUGUGUAUUAAUCAUCAUUGUUGUGUGCAUAGUAAUUAUGGAAAACAUAUUGUUUUUGUUCAUUGUGUGUAUUAAAAUGUGUUGACCACUGCAUUAUACCUGACCAGGCAAGAUCUAGUGGAAAUUCCAUCAAAAAAUUCAGAUGUUUUAUAUAUAAAAAAAUUAAUUGUGCAUGGACGUAGUGUUAAUAAUAAGAGAUAACAUGUGUAAUUUUAGGGUAGAUUAAUUGAUUGUUUUAAUUUCAUGAAACUGUUACACUUUCAAGUUCUACUUGUGAAUGAGGAAACGUUGAUUUUAGAAAAAAGGAAAUAUUCUUGAUGUGCCAUGAUGAGUUUUAACUUAAAGGGGGGACAAGUGUUACUUUUAGUGGGGAUUUUUCAAUGGUGUAAUGCUGUGAGUCAUAAUUGAAGACAUGUAUUUAGAUACUAGCUUACCCUCUGUACUUUAUUCUAAGAGCUUUAUUCAAUUUUGUAUCAUGUGCUGCUGUAUAGCAAUUCAUUGGAAUGAAUAAGUAGAAAAACUAACAAAAUAAACCCUCUUGAAAUAGU